Molecule: non-coding RNA, 748 nt
Filed under: Penicillium vulpinum
Lineage: Eukaryota; Fungi; Ascomycota; Eurotiomycetes; Eurotiales; Aspergillaceae
Description: Eukaryotic small subunit ribosomal RNA
Rfam family: Eukaryotic small subunit ribosomal RNA
Source: Rfam by way of RNAcentral
UACACCACAAAUAUUUCAUAUUAUCUAUUAAAACCAACCUUUAAUAAGAUUUUUCUACUCGAUACUAAGAAACCUAAGGUGACGAUAUACAAGGUAUUAGCUUACAAUUUAAUUUCUUUAUAUUUCGAAAGUCUUUAUAGUAAAAGAUAAGAAAAAUGUAGAGGUAUACCAGAACAGCUGUAAAUAACAGUAUUUUAAGAAGCUGAAUCAUCUAAUUUAUACGUCCGAAAUAGGAAAGGCGGGGAGAAAUUAUGCAUUUGAGGGUCGAUGAGGGUCGAUGCGGGUGACCCUCAAGGGACCCUUAGAGGGUCAGGGUCAGGGUCAGGGUCGGUAAGGUUGGACCCUGACCCUCUGAGGUGCGGGUGGAGGUUCCUAAUCUCGGACCCGCGGGGCGGGUGAGUGCCAGGUCUAGCGAAAGCAUUCGCCAAGGAUGUUUUUAUUAAUCAGAGAACGAAAGUUAGGGGAUCGAAGACGAUCAGAUACCGUUGUAGUCUUAACUAUAAACUAUACUGACUAGGGAUCGGACGGGAUUCUAUAAUGACCCGUUCGGCACCUUACGAGAAAUCAAAGUUUUUGGGUUCUGGGGGGAGUAUAGUCGCAAGGCUGAAACUUAAAGAAAUUGAUGAUUAAAUUUGUAACCCAAUUUAGGCCGACUGUUUGAACUGGGGUAGAUCCACGCCCCGCGAGUAAAAUAUUGGCUAUUUCUCGUACAGUCGUAUACCGGUGGGCUCCUCCGCGUGAAUCUAUU